RNAcentral lists this unclassified non-coding RNA (233 nucleotides) under Hevea brasiliensis (rubber tree). Lineage: Eukaryota; Viridiplantae; Streptophyta; Magnoliopsida; Malpighiales; Euphorbiaceae. The record is from RNAcentral.
UGUGCUACAUUAACCUGAUUUGUGAGUUGACAUAAAAUAGAAUAAAAUAAAAAGAUAAAAAUGUGCUCAAAAUCCCUCAUGAACGACUCUAAAUUAUUGGGAAAGGAUUGAAAAAAAAUGGAAUACCUAUAAACUUCACUGGCACAUCUAAACAAAUAUUUUUAGCAGCCAAUUGCUAAAACUAAGCUGAACUCUUUCCUCAAAUGGACUCAGAAUUGUCAUAUUAUUAGACA